GUCUCUGUGGCGCAACUGGACAGCGCAUUCUGCUGUUAACCGAAAGGUUGGUGGUUCGAGCCCACCCAGGGACG
Nothobranchius furzeri (turquoise killifish) is the source of this 74-nucleotide non-coding RNA. The record is from the annotation of a RefSeq genome assembly. NCBI's taxonomy places the organism in Eukaryota, Metazoa, Chordata, Actinopteri, Cyprinodontiformes, Nothobranchiidae.